RNAcentral lists this ribosomal RNA (137 nucleotides) under uncultured bacterium. RNAcentral's name for it is "partial 16S ribosomal RNA". It matches the Rfam family "Bacterial small subunit ribosomal RNA", at positions 355 to 509 of the family's 1533-position model. The record is from RNAcentral.
UGGGGAAUAUUGCGCAAUGGGGGAAACCCUGACGCAGCAACGCCGCGUGCGGGAUGAAGGCCUUCGGGUUGUAAACCGCUUUCAGCAGGGAAGAUAAUGACGGUACCUGCAGAAGAAGCCCCGGCUAACUACGUGCC